AGAGUUUGAUCCUGGCUCAGGACGAACGCUGGCGGCGUGCUUAACACAUGCAAGUCGAACGAGAAUCUGUGGAUCGAGGAUUCGUCCAAGUGAAGCAGAGGACAGUGGCGGACGGGUGAGUAACGCGUGAGGAACCUGCCUUUCAGAGGGGGACAACAGUUGGAAACGACUGCUAAUACCGCAUGAUACAUUUGGGUGGCAUCAUCUGAAUGUCAAAGAUUUAUCGCUGAAAGAUGGCCUCGCGUCUGAUUAGCUAGUUGGUGAGGUAACGGCCCACCAAGGCGACGAUCAGUAGCCGGACUGAGAGGUUGACCGGCCACAUUGGGACUGAGAUACGGCCCAGACUCCUACGGGAGGCAGCAGUGGGGAAUAUUGGGCAAUGGGCGCAAGCCUGACCCAGCAACGCCGCGUGAAGGAAGAAGGCUUUCGGGUUGUAAACUUCUUUUAAGAGGGAAGAGCAGAAGACUGUACCUCUAGAAUAAGCCACGGCUAACUACGUGCCAGCAGCCGCGGUAAUACGUAGGUGGCAAGCGUUGUCCGGAUUUACUGGGUGUAAAGGGCGUGCAGCCGGGAAUGCAAGUCAGAUGUGAAAUCCAUGGGCUUAACCCAUGAACUGCAUUUGAAACUGUAUUUCUUGAGUACUGGAGAGGCAAUCGGAAUUCCUAGUGUAGCGGUGAAAUGCGUAGAUAUUAGGAGGAACACCAGUGGCGAAGGCGGAUUGCUGGACAGCAACUGACGGUGAGGCGCGAAAGUGUGGGGAGCAAACAGGAUUAGAUACCCUGGUAGUCCACACUGUAAACGAUGAAUACUAGGUGUGCGGGGACUGACCCCCUGCGUGCCGCAGUUAACACAAUAAGUAUUCCACCUGGGGAGUACGAUCGCAAGGUUGAAACUCAAAGGAAUUGACGGGGGCCCGCACAAGCGGUGGAUUAUGUGGUUUAAUUCGAAGCAACGCGAAGAACCUUACCAGGGUUUGACAUCCUGCUAACGAAGUAGAGAUACAUUAGGUGCCCUUCGGGGAAAG
This 1024-nucleotide ribosomal RNA is filed under the name gut metagenome. RNAcentral's name for it is "bacterial SSU rRNA". It matches the Rfam family "Bacterial small subunit ribosomal RNA", at positions 8 to 1028 of the family's 1533-position model. The record is from RNAcentral.